UACAGAGGUCUCAAGCGUUGUUCGGAUUCAUUGGGCGUAAAGGGUGCGUAGGCGGCGCGGUAAGUCGGGUGUGAAAUCUUGGAGCUUAACUCCGAAACUGCAUUCGAUACUGCCGUGCUCGAGUACUGGAGAGGAGACUGGAAUUUACGGUGUAGCAGUGAAAUGCGUAGAUAUCGUAAGGAAGACCAGUGGCGAAGGCGAGUCUCUGGACAGUUACUGACGCUGAGGCACGAAGGCCAGGGGAGCAAACGGG
RNAcentral lists this ribosomal RNA (253 nucleotides) under uncultured bacterium. RNAcentral's name for it is "partial 16S ribosomal RNA". It matches the Rfam family "Bacterial small subunit ribosomal RNA", at positions 524 to 776 of the family's 1533-position model. The record is from RNAcentral.